GGCCUCGUGGCUCAACUGGUAGAGCGUGCGUUGUACAAAAGCGUAGGUGGCGUCCAUCCGUGGGUUCGAUUCCCACGGAGGCUA
This 84-nucleotide transfer RNA is filed under the name Echinostoma caproni. It matches the Rfam family "tRNA". From Rfam's summary of the family: Transfer RNA (tRNA) molecules are approximately 80 nucleotides in length. Their secondary structure includes four short double-helical elements and three loops (D, anti-codon, and T loops). Lineage: Eukaryota; Metazoa; Platyhelminthes; Trematoda; Plagiorchiida; Echinostomatidae. The record is from Rfam by way of RNAcentral.